RNAcentral lists this ribosomal RNA (385 nucleotides) under uncultured bacterium. Its description in RNAcentral is "bacterial SSU rRNA". It matches the Rfam family "Bacterial small subunit ribosomal RNA", at positions 30 to 416 of the family's 1533-position model. The record is from RNAcentral.
AUUGAACGCUGGCGGCAUGCCUUACACAUGCAAGUCGAACGGCAGCACGGGAGCAAUCCUGGUGGCGAGUGGCGAACGGGUGAGUAAUAUAUCGGAACGUGCCCAGUCGUGGGGAUAACGUAGCGAAAGCUACGCUAAUACCGCAUACGAUCUAUGGAUGAAAGCGGGGGAUCGCAAGACCUCGCGCGAUUGGAGCGGCCGAUAUCAGAUUAGGUAGUUGGUGAGGUAAAGGCUCGCCAAGCCGACGAUCUGUAGCUGGUCUGAGAGGACGACCAGCCACACUGGGACUGAGACACGGCCCAGACUCCUACGGGAGGCAGCAGUGGGGAAUUUUGGACAAUGGGCGCAAGCCUGAUCCAGCAAUGCCGCGUGCAGGAUGAAGCCU